Molecule: transfer RNA, 70 nt
Filed under: Synthliboramphus wumizusume
Lineage: Eukaryota; Metazoa; Chordata; Aves; Charadriiformes; Alcidae
Description: tRNA-Lys
Source: RNAcentral
CAUUAAGAAGCUAUGUACCAGCACUAGCCUUUUAAGCUAGCGAAAGAGGACCACUUCCCCUCCUUAAUGA